UCAUAAAGGGCUUCAUGCUAUUUUAUUGAGUGAUUGUAUCACAGUUAAAUGAAUUAAUCUUUCCUUGAUGGAAAUUUAGUCUGUUUCCAAUUUUUCAUUAUUAUAAACAACUUUGAGAUAACCAGUCGUGCAUAUGCCUCUUUGUGCUUGUGUCCAAUUACAGCAUAAGGAUAAAGUGUCAAAAGGAUUGCAGUAGUGGGGUUUGAGCCACAUAGCUACAUCACUCUCCAAAAUUUAUCAUAAUCCACUUGCUAAUUAAGGGGCAGGGGGAAGCACCUGUUUUCCCCACUUUCAUCCACUUGGUAACAUCAAACUUUGAAACGUGGCCCACGGAACAGCAAAGAGAGAUCACACGGUGAUUUCAUUUGCAUUUUUUAUCGCUUUUGUUAUUGACCUUCCUUCACACGUCUCCUGACCCCUGGCUGCUUUUUCUCUUUUGUGAAUAAUCUAUUUGUAUCUUUUGACAGUUCUUCUGUUGGGAAGUUUGUUUUGUUCAUACUCAUUUGCAGGAAAAGCUUGUCCUUCUCUUUCUAUGUUUGUCAGGUUUCUGUAGGUUUUUUGUGGGUUUUUUUUGGCCAGUGAAAAGUACUUCAAAACUGACAUAACUUCCAAGCCCUGGAAUUUAAGUCGUCUUUGGGGGGUUUAGGAGUGUGUCCUCUCCACCUUGGACUUGUCAGGAAGCAACACAUUUCCAGAAGUAUCCUGGUGAGCACAGCGCUGCUCCUCUAGGAAGGCUGAGAGGUGAUUAUACAAGGAAAGGGGAGACACAGGGAGAGUAGCCAAGAGACGUAACAGUGGUAAAACGUUUUGCAAAUAGAAAUACGUCUCAGAAGGAUACAUGGCAACAGUGCCAACUCAGUGAGGCAAUUAAAUGUCGGGGCUAUUUAUACGGCUCAGGUGGGGAGAUCAGGGAAUAGAUUCAGACUUCGGAAGAGCUAAGAGAUUGAAGGAACUUGGCCAGGGUGUGUGUGUGGGGGUCAUGCUGACUUGUGAAGAGGGCAGAGCCAGACAGAGGCCAAGCCUAGGGCGGUGCUGGCUCCCCCACCCUGCAUUACCAUCCUAGAAGGUCUCUGGUGGAUGGGGUGGGGGUACCCGGGGCUGGGAGUUUGGUGCUGGGCUCCUGGAAUAGCUUCAUGGAUGCUUGCUCUGUGCCAGGCACUGUCCUGGGUGCCAAGGGCUCCAAGGACAGAGAAGUGUCCUUAUGUUUCAGGAGGGUGGGCUUAGCUUUGUGAAGCUCAGCUCUCAAAUCCCACGCAGGGAGGCAGAAAGAUGUUAUGGCCAAUUCCCAAGGAUACUUCUAUGAACUAGGUACCACCUGUAGAUAAAAUAAUUUCCAGUCUGUAUCCGUGUUGCUCUUGUUCCAUGUGAAUAUAUGCUGUUGGGGCGAUGCAUUACACAUUGAAGGAUCUAUGUGUUCAAGUCAUACUGUAUUUUCUCACAUCUCUCACUCUCCUGUGGGGAUCAUGAGCUGACUUAGAUCCUCAGGUCAUUCUGACUCAGGGGAAUGUUAAGACUCAGCCUAGACCUUGGUGGGUAGGGUCAUGCUGGUUGGUGGAGGGGGAAACCUCUGUGGCUUUAGCAGUGAAAUCUGACAAGGAUUUCUUAACAGGGGAGGGACAUCCAGGAUGCUAGCUGAGCAUGGACAGUGGGGAGGCACAGUGGACAGAUCCCCUGCUGUGGUCCCAAGAAGCCAGUCCUCCAUCUCUUA
RNAcentral lists this long non-coding RNA (1708 nucleotides) under Sus scrofa (pig). RNAcentral describes it as "lncRNA (ENSSSCG00060054818.1)". Lineage: Eukaryota; Metazoa; Chordata; Mammalia; Artiodactyla; Suidae. The record is from RNAcentral.